This 71-nucleotide transfer RNA is filed under the name Loxodonta africana (African savanna elephant). It matches the Rfam family "tRNA". From Rfam's summary of the family: Transfer RNA (tRNA) molecules are approximately 80 nucleotides in length. Their secondary structure includes four short double-helical elements and three loops (D, anti-codon, and T loops). Further hydrogen bonds mediate the characteristic L-shaped molecular structure. tRNAs have two regions of fundamental functional importance: the anti-codon, which is responsible for specific mRNA codon recognition, and the 3' end, to which the tRNAs corresponding amino acid is attached (by aminoacyl-tRNA synthetases). tRNAs cope with the degeneracy of the genetic code in two manners: having more than one tRNA (with a specific anti-codon) for a particular amino acid; and 'wobble' base-pairing, i.e. permitting non-standard base-pairing at the 3rd anti-codon position. The record is from Rfam by way of RNAcentral. Lineage: Eukaryota; Metazoa; Chordata; Mammalia; Proboscidea; Elephantidae.
GCCUUGGUAGUUCAAUGGUAGAAUUCUUGCCUCCCAUGCCGGAGACCUGGGUUCGAUUCCUGGCCAAUACG